RNAcentral lists this ribosomal RNA (256 nucleotides) under uncultured bacterium. RNAcentral's name for it is "partial 16S ribosomal RNA". It matches the Rfam family "Bacterial small subunit ribosomal RNA", at positions 524 to 776 of the family's 1533-position model. The record is from RNAcentral.
CACGUAGGGCGCAAGCGUUGUCCGGAAUUAUUGGGCGUAAAGAGCUCGUAGGUGGUUUGUUACGUCUGCUGUGAAAUCCUAGGGCUUAACCCUGGGCUUGCAGUGGAUACGGGCAGACUAGAGGGUAGGUAGGGGAGAAUGGAAUUCCUGGGUGUAGCGGUGAAAUGCGCAGAUAUCAGGAGGAACACCGGUGGCGAAGGCGGUUCUCUGGGCCUUACCUGACGCUGGAGGAGCGAAAGCGUGGGGAGCGAACGGA